CUCCGUGCUUACCGGGGCCUCCCCGGCCAGCCCUCGUGGGAAUAUUGGAACAGACCAGUUGGGGAGGCGGAUGUCAGCACAAGCAGGACCACACAGGGUGACUAGUGCUGUCCCACAGGGAGCCCUGGGCCUGCCCAGCUGGUCUGAGCCCAGCCCUGCAGCGAUGGCUCCCCAGGCCCGGGACCAGGACUCUGCAGUCAGACCGGACCUGAGUCCAGCGCCUCCCGCUCUCUGUGACCCCGGGGAGAGGAGCCCUCGGGGGCAGCAACGGUCAGGAGGGGAACAGCCCCUUGAACUGACUCGCAAGGGGCAGGGGUCUGCUGGUGGUCAUGUGGAGAACAACAGAUUCUGGACAUGCUGGCCGCUCACUGUCCUCCAGUGCUGGAGUCCUGGGCUCUGCAGGUCAGGAGCUGACAAAAGCUGGAUCCAAAUCUGGAAGGUGCCUUCAAGGGCGUGACACCUAACUGGCUGCUAUCCCUGCACCUCCCACGACAGCCUCAUGCUCCGCCGCCCCCGCGAGGAAUUUUAUGGAUGCAAAGAAGGUGGAGACAUGAAAUAAACACUUGGGUUUUAAC
Molecule: long non-coding RNA, 575 nt
Filed under: Equus caballus (horse)
Lineage: Eukaryota; Metazoa; Chordata; Mammalia; Perissodactyla; Equidae
Description: lncRNA (ENSECAG00000038543.3)
Source: RNAcentral